RNAcentral lists this transfer RNA (50 nucleotides) under Genlisea aurea. It matches the Rfam family "tRNA", at positions 23 to 71 of the family's 71-position model. Rfam says of the family: Transfer RNA (tRNA) molecules are approximately 80 nucleotides in length. Lineage: Eukaryota; Viridiplantae; Streptophyta; Magnoliopsida; Lamiales; Lentibulariaceae. The record is from Rfam by way of RNAcentral.
GCAGAGGACUGAAAAUCCUUGUGUCACCAGUUCAAAUCUGGUUUCUGGCA